GACGAACGCUGGCGGCGUGCUUAACACAUGCAAGUCGAACGGAAAGGCCCUGCUUGCAGGGUGCUCGAGUGGCGAACGGGUGAGUAACACGUGGGUGAUCUGCCCCUUACUUUGGGAUAAGCCUGGGAAACUGGGUCUAAUACUGGAUAGGACCAUGCUGUAGGUGGUGUGGUGGAAAGAUUAGUUUCGGUAAGGGAUGAGCUCGCGGCCUAUCAGCUUGUUGGUGGGGUAAUGGCCUACCAAGGCGUCGACGGGUAGCCGGCCUGAGAGGGUGGACGGCCAGAUUGGGACUGCGAUACGGCGCAGAAUCCUACAGGAGGCAGCAGUGGGGAAUAUUGCACAAUGGGCGCAAGCCUGAUGCAGAGAAGGCGUGUGGGGGAUGACGGCCUUCGGGUUGUAAACUACUUUAAGAAAUGAAGAAGCCCUUGUGGUGACGGUAGUGGUAGAAGAAGCACCGGCUAACUACGUG
RNAcentral lists this ribosomal RNA (469 nucleotides) under uncultured bacterium. RNAcentral describes it as "partial 16S ribosomal RNA". It matches the Rfam family "Bacterial small subunit ribosomal RNA", at positions 28 to 507 of the family's 1533-position model. The record is from RNAcentral.